RNAcentral lists this ribosomal RNA (514 nucleotides) under Listeria monocytogenes. RNAcentral's name for it is "bacterial SSU rRNA". It matches the Rfam family "Bacterial small subunit ribosomal RNA", at positions 1018 to 1533 of the family's 1533-position model. The record is from RNAcentral. Lineage: Bacteria; Bacillati; Bacillota; Bacilli; Caryophanales; Listeriaceae.
CUUCGGGGACAAAGUGACAGGUGGUGCAUGGUUGUCGUCAGCUCGUGUCGUGAGAUGUUGGGUUAAGUCCCGCAACGAGCGCAACCCUUGAUUUUAGUUGCCAGCAUUUAGUUGGGCACUCUAAAGUGACUGCCGGUGCAAGCCGGAGGAAGGUGGGGAUGACGUCAAAUCAUCAUGCCCCUUAUGACCUGGGCUACACACGUGCUACAAUGGAUAGUACAAAGGGUCGCGAAGCCGCGAGGUGGAGCUAAUCCCAUAAAACUAUUCUCAGUUCGGAUUGUAGGCUGCAACUCGCCUACAUGAAGCCGGAAUCGCUAGUAAUCGUGGAUCAGCAUGCCACGGUGAAUACGUUCCCGGGCCUUGUACACACCGCCCGUCACACCACGAGAGUUUGUAACACCCGAAGUCGGUAGGGUAACCUUUAUGGAGCCAGCCGCCGAAGGUGGGACAGAUAAUUGGGGUGAAGUCGUAACAAGGUAGCCGUAUCGGAAGGUGCGGCUGGAUCACCUCCUUU